Molecule: ribosomal RNA, 497 nt
Filed under: uncultured bacterium
Lineage: Bacteria
Description: partial 16S ribosomal RNA
Rfam family: Bacterial small subunit ribosomal RNA
Source: RNAcentral
GAUGAACGCUGGCGGCGUGCCUAAUACAUGCGAGUCGAGCGAACAGACGAGGAGCUUGCUCCUCUGACGUUAGCGGCGGACGGGUGAGUAACACGUGGAUAACCUACCUAUAAGACUGGGAUAACUUCGGGAAACCGGAGCUAAUACCGGAUAAUAUAUUGAACCGCAUGGUUCAAUAGUGAAAGACGGUUUUGCUGUCACUUAUAGAUGGAUCCGCGCCGCAUUAGCUAGUUGGUAAGGUAACGGCUUACCAAGGCAACAAUGCGUAGCCGACCUGAGAGGGUGAUCGGCCACACUGGAACUGAGACACGGUCCAGACUCCUACGGGAGGCAGCAGUAGGGAAUCUUCCGCAAUGGGCGAAAGCCUGACGGAGCAACGCCGCGUGAGUGAUGAAGGUCUUCGGAUCGUAAAACUCUGUUAUUAGGGAAGAACAAAUGUGUAAGUAACUAUGCACGUCUUGACGGUACCUAAUCAGAAAGCCACGGCUAACUACGUG